GGCGCGGCGNNNGUCUAAGUCCCUUGGAACNGGGNGUCAUAGAGGGUGAGAAUCCCGNNUGCGACCGGCGACCAAGCCCUGUUGAAACUCCUUCGACGAGUCGAGUUGUUUGGGAAUGCAGCNCNAAAUGGGUGGUAAAUNUCAUCUAAAGCUAAAUACCGNCCNGAGACCGAUAGCGCACAAGUAGAGUGAUGGAAAGAUGAAAAGCACUUUGGAAAGAGAGUCAAAAAGUACGUGAAAUUGUUGAAAGGGAAGCGNUUGCAACCAGACCUGCCCGCGGGCGAUCAGCUGUCCCUUCCGGGGCGGUGUANUUGCCCGUGAUCAGGCCAGNAUCGGUUCGGGCGGCCGGAUAAAGGCCUUGGGAANGUAGCUCCUCUCGGGGAGUGUUAUAGCCCUCGGUGCAAUGCGGCCAGCCCUGGACCGAGGANCGCGCUUCGGCUAGGAUGCUGGCGUAAUGGUUGUAAGCGNCCCGUCUUGAAACACGGACCAAGGAUCUAACAUCUAUGCGAGUGUGUGGGUGUCAAACCCAUGCGCGUAAUGAAAGUGAACGGAGGUGGGAACCCNCNAGGGCGCACCAUCGACCGAUCCUGAUGUCUUCGGAUGGAUUUGAGUAAGAGCAUANCUGUUGGGACCCGAAAGAUGGUGAACUAUGCNUGAAUAGGGUGAAGCCAGAGGAAACUCUGGUGGAGGCUCGCAGNNGUUCUGACNUGNAAAUCUCUNUCCNNACUUGGGUUUAGGGGNGAAAGA
Molecule: ribosomal RNA, 747 nt
Filed under: Caloplaca chlorina
Lineage: Eukaryota; Fungi; Ascomycota; Lecanoromycetes; Teloschistales; Teloschistaceae
Description: partial large subunit ribosomal RNA
Rfam family: Eukaryotic large subunit ribosomal RNA
Source: RNAcentral